GACGAACGCUGGCGGCGUGCUUAACACAUGCAAGUCGAACGGAGUGGCGAACGGGUGAGUAACACGUUGGUGAUCUGCCUUGCACUCUGGGAUAAGCUUGGGCAACUGGGUCUAAUACCGUAUCGUGCAAGAUGAGCUCGCGGCCUUUCAGCUUGUUGGUGGGGUAAUGGCCUACCAAGGCGUCGACGGGUAGCCGGCCUGAGAGGGUGUACGGCCACAUUGGGACUGAGAUACGGCCCAGACUCCUACGGGGGGCAGAAGGGGGGAAUGGUGCACAAUGGGCGGAAGCCUGAUGCAGCGGCGCCGCGUGGGGGAUGACAGCAUUCGGGUUGUAAACUCCUUUCGACAGGGACGCGGUACCUGUAUAAGAAGCACCGGCUAACUACGUGCCAGCAGCCGCGGUAAUUC
This 408-nucleotide ribosomal RNA is filed under the name uncultured bacterium. Its description in RNAcentral is "partial 16S ribosomal RNA". It matches the Rfam family "Bacterial small subunit ribosomal RNA", at positions 28 to 526 of the family's 1533-position model. The record is from RNAcentral.